GUAGGUGAACCUGCGGAAGGAUCAUUACCUAGAGUUGUAGGCUUUGCCUGCUAUCUCUUACCCAUGUCUUUUGAGUACCUUCGUUUCCUCGGCGGGUCCGCCCGCCGAUUGGACAAUUUAAACCAUUUGCAGUCGCAAUCAGCGUCUGAAAAAACUUAAUAGUUACAACUUUCAACAACGGAUCUCUUGGUUCUGGCAUCGAUGAAGAACGCAGCGAAAUGCGAUAAGUAGUGUGAAUUGCAGAAUUCAGUGAAUCAUCGAAUCUUUGAACGCACAUUGCGCCCCUUGGUAUUCCAUGGGGCAUGCCUGUUCGAGCGUCAUUUGUACCUUCAAGCUCUGCUUGGUGUUGGGUGUUUGUCUCGCCUCUGCGCGCAGACUCGCCUCAAAACGAUUGGCAGCCGGCGUAUUGAUUUCGGAGCGCAGUACAUCUCGCGCUUUGCACUCAUAACGACGACGUCCAAAAGUACAUUUUUACACUCUUGACCUCGGAUCAGGUAGGGAUACCCGCUGAACUUAAGCAUA
This 522-nucleotide ribosomal RNA is filed under the name uncultured fungus. Its description in RNAcentral is "eukaryotic LSU rRNA". The stretch from base 167 to 320 matches the Rfam family "5.8S ribosomal RNA". Lineage: Eukaryota; Fungi. The record is from RNAcentral.